This 1470-nucleotide ribosomal RNA is filed under the name Triticum aestivum (bread wheat). RNAcentral's name for it is "partial small subunit ribosomal RNA". Lineage: Eukaryota; Viridiplantae; Streptophyta; Magnoliopsida; Poales; Poaceae. The record is from RNAcentral.
AUGGCUUCGGCGCUGCUCUCCGCGCUGGUCUUGGUCGUUGCCAUGGUGGCUACCGUCGGGCGGCCGUGCCGGGGCGAGUUCACGGUGGUGGUGCCGGACGCGGGGGCGCUGGUGGACGCGCCGCAGCCGGGGUUCUCGGACCGGGCGCGCACCGACCCGGCGGAGCAGCGCGCCGUGCUGGAGGUGAUGGCGGCGACGGGCAACGGCUGGGCGUCGGGCAUCGCGGACGUGUGCCGCGGCCGGUGGCACGGCAUCGAGUGCGUGCCCGACCGCGCCGACGUCUACCACGUCGUCUCCCUCUCCUUCGGCGCGCUCUCCGACGACACCGCCUUCCCGGCCUGCGACCCCGCGCGCGCCACGCUCUCCCCCGCCGUGCUCGCGCUCCCGCACCUCCGCUCCCUCUUCUUCUACCGCUGCUUCACCGCCAACCCGCAGCCCGUCCCGCCCUUCCUCGGCCGCCUCGGCCCCGCCUUCCGCUCCCUCGUGCUGCGCCAGAACGGCCACGUCGGCCCCAUACCGGCCGAGAUCGGGAACCUCUCCAGGCUGCGCGUGCUUGACCUCCACGGCAACCAUCUCUCCUCCGCCAUCCCGGCCACCGUCCAGUCGUUAGACCGCCUCCAGCUGCUCGACCUCAGCUACAACCGGCUCGCCGGCCAGGUGCCAAACUUGAGGUUCCAGCAGCUCAGCAUCCUGGACCUCAGCCACAACGCGCUGCAGGGCCGCGUCCCGGCGAGCCUCGGGCAAUGCCGGUCUCUCCUGAAGAUCGACCUCAGCCAGAACCGCCUCGCCGGCACGAUCCCGGACGCUCUCGGCGAUCUGCCUGACCUCAUACUGCUCGACCUCAGCCACAACGCGCUGUCCGGCCCGAUCCCGGCGGCGAUCGGCAGGCUGUCGACGCUGCGGUCGCUCAUCCUCGGCGACAACCCGAUGCAGCCCUCGGCGAUCCCCGGUGACUUCUUCACGGGGCUCAAGGCGCUGACCACGCUGGUCCUCUCGGGCAUGGGGCUGGAAGGGUCGCUGCCGGAGUCCAUCGGGGGCCUGAGCCAGCUCCGCGUGCUGCGCCUGGACAGCAACGGCUUCACCGGCGUGAUACCGGCGAGCUUCCGGCGGCUGGAGAAGGCGAGCGAGCUCCGCGUGGACGGCAACCGGCUGGUGGGGCCGAUCCCGUUCGGCAAGCAGAUGAUGUGGAGGCUGGGCAAGAAGCUGCGCGUCGGCGGCAACGAGGGGCUCUGCUACGACGCCAAGCAGCAAGGGCUGGAGGGCGCCAUGGCGCUGGCCGGCGUCGCGGACUGCGGCAGCGUGGGGAGCGGCACCACGACGCAGCACUUGAGCUGGAUGAGUAGCGGCGGCGCCACGGCGACGGCGACGGCUAACGUGACACCAUCAGCCGCAGAUUCAAAUUCUGGCCGGGGUGGCGGGCAUUUUUUCUUGGUCGUUUUGGUGUGUUUGCAGCUUGCAUUGUGGUUGUAG